GAUGAACGCUGGCGGCGUGCCUAAUACAUGCAAGUCGAGCGAACAGACGAGGAGCUUGCUCCUCUGACGUUAGCGGCGGACGGGUGAGUAACACGUGGAUAACCUACCUAUAAGACUGGGAUAACUUCGGGAAACCGGAGCUAAUACCGGAUAAUAUAUUGAACCGCAUGGUUCAAUAGUGAAAGACGGUUUUGCUGUCACUUAUAGAUGGAUCCGCGCCGCAUUAGCUAGUUUGUAAGGUAACGGCUUACCAAGGCAACGAUGCGUAGCCGACCCGAGAGGGUGAUCGGCCACACUGGAACUGAGACACGGUCCAGACUCCUACGGGAGGCAGCAGUAGGGAAUCUUCCGCAAUGGGCGAAAGCCUGACGGAGCAACGCCGCGUGAGUGAUGAAGGUCUUCGGAUCGUAAAACUCUGUUAUUAGGGAAGAACAAAUGUGUAAGUAACUAUGCACGUCUUGACGGUACCUAAUCAGAAAGCCACGGCUAACUACGUG
Molecule: ribosomal RNA, 497 nt
Filed under: uncultured bacterium
Lineage: Bacteria
Description: partial 16S ribosomal RNA
Rfam family: Bacterial small subunit ribosomal RNA
Source: RNAcentral